Molecule: ribosomal RNA, 435 nt
Filed under: uncultured bacterium
Lineage: Bacteria
Description: bacterial SSU rRNA
Rfam family: Bacterial small subunit ribosomal RNA
Source: RNAcentral
CAGGCCUAACACAUGCAAGUCGAACGAAGGCUUCGGCCUCAGUGGCGCACGGGUGCGUAACGCGUGGGAAUCUGCCCCUUGGUUCGGAAUAACAGUUAGAAAUGACUGCUAAUACCGGAUAACGACGUAAGUCCAAAGAUUUAUCGCCGAGGGAUGAGCCCGCGUAGGAUUAGCUAGUUGGUGUGGUAAAGGCGCACCAAGGCGACGAUCCUUAGCUGGUCUGAGAGGAUGAUCAGCCACACUGGGACUGAGACACGGCCCAGACUCCUACGGGAGGCAGCAGUGGGGAAUAUUGGACAAUGGGCGAAAGCCUGAUCCAGCAAUGCCGCGUGAGUGAUGAAGGCCUUAGGGUUGUAAAGCUCUUUUACCCGGGAUGAUAAUGACAGUACCGGGAGAAUAAGCUCCGGCUAACUCCGUGCCAGCAGCCGCGGUAAU